CUGAAAAAGGAAGGAAGGAGGAAGCCCUUGGACAAUUGUUGGUGUGUUUCUGAAAGCCCAACUCCUUUGGAGAGCUCACCAUGGCUUGGACCCUACUGUUCUUGGUGCUUCUCAAUUACUACGCUGGUGUCCAUUCUCAGCGAACAUUGACUCAGCUGGCUUCCGUGUCUGGGUCCCUGGGACAGACGAUCACACUCUCCUGCACCAAAGGCAGUGGAAGCUGGAACACUGGUGUCUACUGGUAUCAGCAGAAAUCUGGAGAGAGUCCUCGCUUUGUUCACUGCAAUGGCUGCGGCACCAGGGGACCAGGGAUCCCGGAUCGGUUCACGGCGACUGCUUCUGGAAACACAGGCUCUUUAACCAUCACAAAUCUCCAGGCCGGAGAUGAGGCCAAUUAUUACUGUUUUUGUCGGUACUACAAAGACCUGACAGCUCGUAUCACGGUGGUCCAUUCUCAUGGGGAUGUGAGACCAAAACUGUCAAGUCUCCUCCCAAGAACGUCAGAAACUCUGGAGAGCUGAAGAUGUCUCUCUUUCUCCACUUUUAAAAAUAAAUAAACUUCAUUGA
Molecule: non-coding RNA, 567 nt
Organism: Anolis carolinensis (green anole)
Lineage: Eukaryota; Metazoa; Chordata; Lepidosauria; Squamata; Anolidae
Source: the annotation of a RefSeq genome assembly